UCCGUAGGUGAACCUGCGGAGGGAUCAUUGCUGGAACGCGCCCUAGGCGCACCCAGAAACCCUUUGUGAACUUAUACCUUACUGUUGCCUCGGCGCAUGCUGGCCCCCUCGGGGUCCCCUGGAGACAGGGAGCAGGCACGCCGGCGGCCAAGUUAACUCUUGUUUUUACACUGAAACUCUGAGAAAAAAACACAAAUGAAUCAAAACUUUCAACAACGGAUCUCUUGGUUCUGGCAUCGAUGAAGAACGCAGCGAAAUGCGAUAAGUAAUGUGAAUUGCAGAAUUCAGUGAAUCAUCGAAUCUUUGAACGCACAUUGCGCCCUCUGGUAUUCCGGAGGGCAUGCCUGUUCGAGCGUCAUUUCAACCCUCAAGCAUUGCUUGGUGUUGGGGCACUGCCUGUAAAAGGGCAGGCCCUGAAAUCUAGUGGCGAGCUCGCUAGGACCCCGAGCGUAGUAGUUAAACCCUCGCUUUGGAAGGCCCUGGCGGUGCCCUGCCGUUAAACCCCCAACUUUUGAAAAUUUGACCUCGGAUCAGGUAGGAAUACCCGCUGAACUUAAGCAUAUCAAUAAGCGGAGGA
Molecule: small RNA, 577 nt
Filed under: Phomopsis sp. BFM-L44
Lineage: Eukaryota; Fungi; Ascomycota; Sordariomycetes; Diaporthales; Diaporthaceae
Also listed under: 1 other name
Description: eukaryotic LSU rRNA
Rfam family: 5.8S ribosomal RNA (bases 205-358)
Source: RNAcentral